AAUAAGUGCAGUUUUGCACUAUUCAUGUCCAGCAUUUGACCGUUCGGCUUAUUUGAAAUUUUUUUAUGAUUAAUGUUUUUGUUGUUAUUAGAUGAUAAAACAUGAAUAGUAAUUUAUGUGUGACUAAUUUUUAAAUGUUUCAAAUAAGACGGACAGACGUUUAAACGUUGGAUACAGAUAUCCACGACUGCACUUAUU
This is a non-coding RNA of Oryza glumipatula, 198 nucleotides long. NCBI's taxonomy places the organism in Eukaryota, Viridiplantae, Streptophyta, Magnoliopsida, Poales, Poaceae. The record is from Rfam.